This 195-nucleotide non-coding RNA is filed under the name Candidatus Onthousia faecigallinarum. Its description in RNAcentral is "6S RNA". It matches the Rfam family "6S / SsrS RNA". From Rfam's summary of the family: E. coli 6S RNA was the first non coding RNA to be sequenced, but its function was unknown until recently. It consists of 184 nucleotides that fold into an extended hairpin structure with a large single-stranded internal bulge. Lineage: Bacteria; Bacillati; Bacillota; Bacilli. The record is from RNAcentral.
AAUUGUCUAAAGAAGUCGUGAUGGACACAAGUAUAAAACCGACUAAAGAAACGAUACGGGAGCGCUGAUGAUUGUCUUACCUGUGUUGAAGACCUUUUCUUAUGAUUAGGGAUCCUAGAAGGUAGACUAUGUGCACCCACCUGUACAUAGGUAUAGGUUUUAUCGUUAGUCUUCGAACGCUUCUUUGGAUUUUUU